GGGGGGGGGCAUUACACCGUCGUGCAGGCGUUACGAUGGUGGGCGGUUACAACCGCCCGCCUUUCCCAGCAAUCGAAGGCUUCAAGAAGCCUCGAUCGGAUCCGGUGUUAGACCUACGCCGUCGGAGCAGAGGGCUGCAUCGUCGGAGUAGGAGACGAACGAUCCCCUUUAAAGCAGGUAAAGCCCUUCUUCAUUUAUUUUUUUUUAAGAUCCAGCUUAGAGAUAAAAAAAAAAAA
Non-coding RNA from Phoenix dactylifera (date palm), 236 nucleotides. Lineage: Eukaryota; Viridiplantae; Streptophyta; Magnoliopsida; Arecales; Arecaceae. The record is from RefSeq and is a predicted model, not a curated record.